RNAcentral lists this ribosomal RNA (2923 nucleotides) under Klebsiella pneumoniae. RNAcentral describes it as "bacterial LSU rRNA". It matches the Rfam family "Bacterial large subunit ribosomal RNA". The record is from RNAcentral. Lineage: Bacteria; Pseudomonadati; Pseudomonadota; Gammaproteobacteria; Enterobacterales; Enterobacteriaceae. RNAcentral also lists the same sequence under 1 other name.
GGGUUGUGAGGUUAAGCGACUAAGCGUACACGGUGGAUGCCCUGGCAGUCAGAGGCGAUGAAGGACGUGCUAAUCUGCGAAAAGCGUCGGUAAGGUGAUAUGAACCGUUAUAACCGGCGAUGUCCGAAUGGGGAAACCCAGUGCAAUUCGUUGCACUAUCGUUAACUGAAUACAUAGGUUAACGAGGCGAACCGGGGGAACUGAAACAUCUAAGUACCCCGAGGAAAAGAAAUCAACCGAGAUUCCCCCAGUAGCGGCGAGCGAACGGGGAGCAGCCCAGAGUCUGAAUCAGCUUGUGUGUUAGUGGAACGGUCUGGAAAGUCCGACGGUACAGGGUGAUAGUCCCGUACACCAAAAUGCACAGGCUGUGAACUCGAAGAGUAGGGCGGGACACGUGGUAUCCUGUCUGAAUAUGGGGGGACCAUCCUCCAAGGCUAAAUACUCCUGACUGACCGAUAGUGAACCAGUACCGUGAGGGAAAGGCGAAAAGAACCCCGGCGAGGGGAGUGAAAAAGAACCUGAAACCGUGUACGUACAAGCAGUGGGAGCACCUUCGGGUGUGACUGCGUACCUUUUGUAUAAUGGGUCAGCGACUUAUAUUCUGUAGCAAGGUUAACCGUAUAGGGGAGCCGCAGGGAAACCGAGUCUUAACUGGGCGUUAAGUUGCAGGGUAUAGACCCGAAACCCGGUGAUCUAGCCAUGGGCAGGUUGAAGGUUGGGUAACACUAACUGGAGGACCGAACCGACUAAUGUUGAAAAAUUAGCGGAUGACUUGUGGCUGGGGGUGAAAGGCCAAUCAAACCGGGAGAUAGCUGGUUCUCCCCGAAAGCUAUUUAGGUAGCGCCUCGUGAAUUCAUCUUCGGGGGUAGAGCACUGUUUCGGCUAGGGGGUCAUCCCGACUUACCAACCCGAUGCAAACUACGAAUACCGAAGAAUGUUAUCACGGGAGACACACGGCGGGUGCUAACGUCCGUCGUGAAGAGGGAAACAACCCAGACCGCCAGCUAAGGUCCCAAAGUCAUGGUUAAGUGGGAAACGAUGUGGGAAGGCACAGACAGCCAGGAUGUUGGCUUAGAAGCAGCCAUCAUUUAAAGAAAGCGUAAUAGCUCACUGGUCGAGUCGGCCUGCGCGGAAGAUGUAACGGGGCUAAACCAUGCACCGAAGCUGCGGCAGCGACACUAUGUGUUGUUGGGUAGGGGAGCGUUCUGUAAGCCUGCGAAGGUGACCUGUGAGGGUUGCUGGAGGUAUCAGAAGUGCGAAUGCUGACAUAAGUAACGAUAAAGCGGGUGAAAAGCCCGCUCGCCGGAAGACCAAGGGUUCCUGUCCAACGUUAAUCGGGGCAGGGUGAGUCGACCCCUAAGGCGAGGCCGAAAGGCGUAGUCGAUGGGAAACAGGUUAAUAUUCCUGUACUUGGUGUUACUGCGAAGGGGGGACGGAGAAGGCUAUGUUAGCCGGGCGACGGUUGUCCCGGUUUAAGCAUGUAGGCUGGUUGUCCAGGCAAAUCCGGAUAAUCAAGGCUGAGGUGUGAUGACGAGGCACUACGGUGCUGAAGUAACAAAUGCCCUGCUUCCAGGAAAAGCCUCUAAGCAUCAGGUAACAUUAAAUCGUACCCCAAACCGACACAGGUGGUCAGGUAGAGAAUACCAAGGCGCUUGAGAGAACUCGGGUGAAGGAACUAGGCAAAAUGGUGCCGUAACUUCGGGAGAAGGCACGCUGGUGUGUAGGUGAAGUCCCUGCGGAUGGAGCUGAGACCAGUCGAAGAUACCAGCUGGCUGCAACUGUUUAUUAAAAACACAGCACUGUGCAAACACGAAAGUGGACGUAUACGGUGUGACGCCUGCCCGGUGCCGGAAGGUUAAUUGAUGGGGUUAUCCGUAAGGAGAAGCUCUUGAUCGAAGCCCCGGUAAACGGCGGCCGUAACUAUAACGGUCCUAAGGUAGCGAAAUUCCUUGUCGGGUAAGUUCCGACCUGCACGAAUGGCGUAAUGAUGGCCAGGCUGUCUCCACCCGAGACUCAGUGAAAUUGAACUCGCUGUGAAGAUGCAGUGUACCCGCGGCAAGACGGAAAGACCCCGUGAACCUUUACUAUAGCUUGACACUGAACAUUGAGCCUUGAUGUGUAGGAUAGGUGGGAGGCUUUGAAGCGUGGACGCCAGUCUGCGUGGAGCCAACCUUGAAAUACCACCCUUUAAUGUUUGAUGUUCUAACGUUGGCCCCUGACCGGGGUUGCGGACAGUGUCUGGUGGGUAGUUUGACUGGGGCGGUCUCCUCCCAAAGCGUAACGGAGGAGCACGAAGGUUAGCUAAUCCUGGUCGGACAUCAGGAGGUUAGUGCAAUGGCAUAAGCUAGCUUGACUGCGAGCGUGACGGCGCGAGCAGGUGCGAAAGCAGGUCAUAGUGAUCCGGUGGUUCUGAAUGGAAGGGCCAUCGCUCAACGGAUAAAAGGUACUCCGGGGAUAACAGGCUGAUACCGCCCAAGAGUUCAUAUCGACGGCGGUGUUUGGCACCUCGAUGUCGGCUCAUCACAUCCUGGGGCUGAAGUAGGUCCCAAGGGUAUGGCUGUUCGCCAUUUAAAGUGGUACGCGAGCUGGGUUUAGAACGUCGUGAGACAGUUCGGUCCCUAUCUGCCGUGGGCGCUGGAGAAUUGAGGGGGGCUGCUCCUAGUACGAGAGGACCGGAGUGGACGCAUCACUGGUGUUCGGGUUGUCAUGCCAAUGGCACUGCCCGGUAGCUAAAUGCGGAAGAGAUAAGUGCUGAAAGCAUCUAAGCACGAAACUUGCCCCGAGAUGAGUUCUCCCUGAGACUUUAAGUCUCCUGAAGGAACGUUGAAGACGACGACGUUGAUAGGCCGGGUGUGUAAGCGCAGCGAUGCGUUGAGCUAACCGGUACUAAUGAACCGUGAGGCUUAACCUUACAACGCCGAAG